UUGAACGCUGGCGGAAUGCUUUACACAUGCAAGUCGAACGGCAGCACGGGGGCAACCCUGGUGGCGAGUGGCGAACGGGUGAGUAAUGUAUCGGAACGUACCCAGUCGUGGGGGAUAACUAUCCGAAAGGAUAGCUAAUACCGCAUACGUCCUGAGGGAGAAAGCGGGGGACCGUAAGGCCUCGCGCGAUUGGAGCGGCCGAUGUCGGAUUAGCUAGUUGGUGGGGUAAAGGCCUACCAAGGCGACGAUCCGUAGCGGGUCUGAGAGGAUGAUCCGCCACACUGGGACUGAGACACGGCCCAGACUCCUACGGGAGGCAGCAGUGGGGAAUUUUGGACAAUGGGGGCAACCCUGAUCCAGCCAUGCCGCGUGAGUGAAGAAGGCCUUCGGGUUGUAAAGCUCUUUCAGACGGAAAGAAAACGCAUCGGUGAAUACCCGGUGUGGAUGACGGUACCGUAAGAAGAAGCACCGGCUAACUACGU
This 482-nucleotide ribosomal RNA is filed under the name uncultured bacterium. Its description in RNAcentral is "bacterial SSU rRNA". It matches the Rfam family "Bacterial small subunit ribosomal RNA", at positions 29 to 506 of the family's 1533-position model. The record is from RNAcentral.